GAUGAACGCUGGCGGCGUGCCUAAUACAUGCAAGUCGAGCGAACAGACGCGGAGCUUGCUCCUCUGACGUUAGCGGUGGACGGGUGAGUAACACGUGGAUAACCUACCUAUAAGACUGGGAUAACUUCGGGAAACCGGAGCUAAUAUCGGCUAAUAUAUUGAACCGCAUGGUUCAAUAGUGAAAGACGGUUUUGCUGUCACUUAUAGAUGGAUCCGCGCCGCAUUAGCUAGUUGGUAAGGUAACGGCUUACCAAGGCAACGAUGCGUAGCCGACCUGAGAGGGUGAUCGGCCACACGGGAACUGAGACACGGACCAGACUCCUACGGGAGGCAGCAGUAGGGAAUCUUCCGCAAUGGGCGAAAGCCUGACGGAGCAACGCCGCGUGAGUGAUGAAGGUCUUCGGAUCGUAAAACUCUGUUAUUAGGGAAGAACAAAUGUGUAAGUAACUAUGCACGUCUUGACGGUACCUAAACAGAAAGCCACGGCUAACUACGUG
This 497-nucleotide ribosomal RNA is filed under the name uncultured bacterium. RNAcentral describes it as "partial 16S ribosomal RNA". It matches the Rfam family "Bacterial small subunit ribosomal RNA", at positions 28 to 507 of the family's 1533-position model. The record is from RNAcentral.